This 231-nucleotide ribosomal RNA is filed under the name uncultured bacterium. Its description in RNAcentral is "partial 16S ribosomal RNA". It matches the Rfam family "Bacterial small subunit ribosomal RNA", at positions 99 to 334 of the family's 1533-position model. The record is from RNAcentral.
CGGACGGGUGAGUAAUGUCUGGGAAACUGCCUGAUGGAGGGGGAUAACUACUGGAAACGGUAGCUAAUACCGCAUAACGUCGCAAGACCAAAGAGGGGGACCUUGGGCCUCUUGCCAUCGGAUGUGCCCAGAUGGGAUUAGCUAGUAGGUGGGGUAACGGCUCACCUAGGCGACGAUCCCUAGCUGGUCUGAGAGGAUGACCAGCCACACUGGAAUUGAGACACGGUCCAG